This is a long non-coding RNA of Oncorhynchus tshawytscha (Chinook salmon), 1037 nucleotides long. The record is from Ensembl. NCBI's taxonomy places the organism in Eukaryota, Metazoa, Chordata, Actinopteri, Salmoniformes, Salmonidae.
AGCAGCAGCAGAGUCAACAGAGGACAAGAAGCCAGAGUAGAGUAACAGUAGCAGCAGCAGAGUCAACAGAGGACAAGAAGCCAGAUAACAGUAACAGCAGCAGAGUCAACAGAGGACAAGAAGCCAGAGUAGUAACACAGCAGCAGAGUCAACAGAGGACAAGAAGCCAGAGUAGAGUAACAGUAGCAGCAGCAGAGUCAACAGAGGACAAGAAGCCAGAGUAGAGUAACAGUAGCAGCAGCAGAGUCAACAGAGGACAAGAAGCCAGCAUAGAGUAACAGUAGCAGAGUCAACAGAGGACAAGAAGCCAGAGUAGAGUAACAGUAGCAGCAGCAGCAGAAGGAUGUGAGAUCAGACCCGGUCAGUUUAAUAGACCAACAGAAUAAGAUGGUGGUGAAUGAUACUAGUCUCUAAUUGGACACUCAGGUUUCCUUCCUGAACUGGCCUACUGUUCUUGUGUACUUAUCUGUUUACUAUCUGUAGAUUGUAUUGCUUGUCUUUUUCUAUGGAAUUUUGCCAAUUCCAGAUUUUUAAUAACAUAUUAAGUAUUGAUUUGUCUUAAUGACACAAAAAUUAAUUAUAUUGACAAGAGUUUUAAAUAUUUGUAUCUCUGGAGUUCCUGAUGUGUUAAAAUAUGUUUUACUUUGUAUUGCUGUCAGUCAUUACUGGUCAUUUUAUAUUUUAUAUUAUGUAAUACCAUAUUGUUCAGUGUUAUGAUAUUGCUUGUUUUAUUUUCAAAUUAUUAAUGAUUCAUUAGUACAUUUAUUUGAGAUACAUUGAAUACAGUAUAAGCAUCAUGUUGUAAAUAAGCUCAAAUGUAGACAAUAAAUAGACAACAAAUAAAUUGAUUGUUUGACUAACAUGCAUUGAUUCAUAACUAAAUCCAUUCUGCUCGUUUCUUGUAUUUCUACCUAUUGGACACAUGAUGGAACCAUUGAACCACAUAGCUAGGCUAUAGGCAGGUCAGGGAUACUACAUUACUGUCAGGAGACACUGUCAUAGAUCAACACCAAGCACUGUUCAUCACCUCUCUCUCC